CCUACGGGGGGCAGCAGUGGGGAAUAUUGGACAAUGGGGGGAACCCUGAUCCAGCCAUGCCGCGUGUGUGAAGAAGGCCCUCGGGUUGUAAAGCACUUUCAGUGAGGAAGAACGCCUGGUGGUUAAUACCCAUCAGGAAAGACAUCACUCACAGAAGAAGCACCGGCUAACUCCGUGCCAGCAGCGGCGGUAAUACGGAGGGUGCGAGCGUUAAUCGGAAUUACUGGGCGUAAAGCGCGCGUAGGUGGCUUGAUAAGCCGGUUGUGAAAGCCCCGGGCUCAACCUGGGAACGGCAUCCGGAACUGUCAAGCUAGAGUGCAGGAGAGGAAGGUAGAAUUCCCGGUGUAGCGGUGAAAUGCGUAGAGAUCGGGAGGAAUACCAGUGGCGAAGGCGGCCUUCUGGACUGACACUGACACUGAGGUGCGAAAGCGUGGGUAGCAAACAGGAUUAGAUACCCUUGUAGUC
This 465-nucleotide ribosomal RNA is filed under the name Vreelandella stevensii. RNAcentral's name for it is "partial 16S ribosomal RNA". It matches the Rfam family "Bacterial small subunit ribosomal RNA", at positions 338 to 795 of the family's 1533-position model. The record is from RNAcentral. Lineage: Bacteria; Pseudomonadati; Pseudomonadota; Gammaproteobacteria; Oceanospirillales; Halomonadaceae.